UCCCUGGCGGUCCAGUGGUUAAGACUCUGUGCUUCCAAUGCGGGGGUCGCGGGUUCCAUCCCCGGUCAGGGAA
Molecule: transfer RNA, 73 nt
Filed under: Bos taurus (domestic cattle)
Lineage: Eukaryota; Metazoa; Chordata; Mammalia; Artiodactyla; Bovidae
Also listed under: 1 other name
Rfam family: tRNA
About the family: Transfer RNA (tRNA) molecules are approximately 80 nucleotides in length.
Source: Rfam by way of RNAcentral